This 305-nucleotide ribosomal RNA is filed under the name uncultured bacterium. Its description in RNAcentral is "bacterial SSU rRNA". It matches the Rfam family "Bacterial small subunit ribosomal RNA", at positions 337 to 640 of the family's 1533-position model. The record is from RNAcentral.
CCCUACGGGGGGCAGCAGUGAGGAAUAUUGGUCAAUGGGCGGUAGCCUGAACCAGCCAAGUAGCGUGAAGGAUGAAGGUUCUAUGGAUUGUAAACUUCUUUUAUAAAGGAAUAAAGUGAGGCACGUGUGCCUUUUUGUAUGUACUUUAUGAAUAAGGAUCGGCUAACUCCGUGCCAGCAGCCGCGGUAAUACGGAGGAUCCGAGCGUUAUCCGGAUUUAUUGGGUUUAAAGGGUGCGUAGGCGGGCUUUUAAGUCAGCGGUAAAAAUUCGGGGCUCAACCCCGUCCGGCCGUUGAAACUGGGGGC